AUUGAACGCUGGCGGAAUGCUUUACACAUGCAAGUCGAACGGCAGCACGGGAGCUUGCUCCUGGUGGCGAGUGGCGAACGGGUGAGUAACAUAUCGGAACGUACCCAGUCGUGGGGGAUAACUAUCCGAAAGGAUAGCUAAUACCGCAUACGUCCUGAGGGAGAAAGCGGGGGAUCGCAAGACCUCGCGCGAUUGGAGCGGCCGAUAUCGGAUUAGCUAGUUGGUGGGGUAACGGCUCACCAAGGCGACGAUCAGUAGCUGGUCUGAGAGGAUGAUCAGCCACACUGGAACUGAGACACGGUCCAGACUCCUACGGGAGGCAGCAGUGGGGAAUAUUGGACAAUGGGCGCAAGCCUGAUCCAGCAAUGCCGCGUGGGUGAUGAAGGCCUUCGGGUUGUAAAGCCCUUUGGCGGGGACGGAUGAUGACGGUACCCGCCGAAUAAGACUCCGGCUAACUCCGUGCCAGCAGCCGCGGUAAU
RNAcentral lists this ribosomal RNA (479 nucleotides) under uncultured bacterium. RNAcentral's name for it is "bacterial SSU rRNA". It matches the Rfam family "Bacterial small subunit ribosomal RNA", at positions 29 to 524 of the family's 1533-position model. The record is from RNAcentral.